Molecule: non-coding RNA, 145 nt
Organism: Gossypium arboreum
Lineage: Eukaryota; Viridiplantae; Streptophyta; Magnoliopsida; Malvales; Malvaceae
Source: Rfam
UGUUAAAAAUUUCAUCCCUUUGUACUGUUAAAAAUUGGUGUGGUUAGUAAAAUAACCAAACACUGACGCUUGGAGUGCCACGUGUACCUCAUUCUAACAUACAGGGGCUAGUUAUUAACAGUAGAAAUUGAUUAAAUUUUUAAUA